This 466-nucleotide ribosomal RNA is filed under the name uncultured bacterium. Its description in RNAcentral is "partial 16S ribosomal RNA". It matches the Rfam family "Bacterial small subunit ribosomal RNA", at positions 28 to 507 of the family's 1533-position model. The record is from RNAcentral.
GAUGAACGCUGGCGGCGUGCUUAACACAUGCCAGUCGAACGAUGAAGCUCAGCUUGCUGGGUGGAUUAGUGGCGAACGGGUGAGUAACACGUGAGUAACCUGCCCUUAACUCUGGGAUAAGCCUGGGAAACUAGGUCUAAUACCGGAUAGGAGCGUCCACCGCAUGGUGGGUGUUGGAAAGAUUUAUCGGUUUUGGAUGGACUCGCGGCCUAUCAGCUUGUUGGUGAGGUAAUGGCUCACCAAGGCGACGACGGGUAGCCGGCCUGAGAGGGUGACCGGCCACACUGGGACUGAGACACGGCCCAGACUCCUACGGGAGGCAGCAGUGGGGAAUAUUGCACAAUGGGCGAAAGCCUGAUGCAGCGACGCCGCGUGAGGGAUGACGGCCUUCGGGUUGUAAACCUCGUUCAGUAGGGAAGAAGCGAAAGUGACGGUACCUGCAGAAGAAGCACCGGCUAACUACGUG